UACUAUGAGCCUAGUUCUGUUUCCUAGCAC
RNAcentral lists this non-coding RNA (30 nucleotides) under Mus musculus (house mouse). The record is from RNAcentral. Lineage: Eukaryota; Metazoa; Chordata; Mammalia; Rodentia; Muridae.